AAAAUGCAGGCUGUGCAGAUGUUUUGCUGUUGUGGUUGCUUUUAACUGAGCACUGUUGCUCCACUGGUGCCACAGAGAGCCUUUGUCUGUCACAUGCUGCUCCGUGGUGCCUGCCUUGUACCUCGUCCUGGCAGUCGCUAGGGGCCCCUGCUCUGCUCGAUGCCUCGGAUCAAGCUGUGUGGUGUCUGUGAGCGCAGUUGGGCAGCAGUCGUCGCCACUGUGCGUCGCUGAAGAUGUUGCAGCAGCAGCCUCUGACGGGCAAUGGGCCAUCCAACGGCCGGGGACUCGGCGUGAGCGGCCACCCCGGGAUGCAUGCGCUCAACUCGGUUCAUCAAGCUUCCCAGCACCGGUCCGACGGAGGGGAGCCGGGCCUCGAGGGCACAGAGAACGGACACGAAAGCCGCAGAGAUAUUGGUGACAUACUGCAGCAAAUAAUGACCAUCACCGACCAAAGUUUGGACGAGGCACAAGCAAAGAAACAUGCACUUAACUGUCACCGGAUGAAACCUGCGUUGUUCAGCGUUUUGUGCGAGAUCAAGGAAAAAACUGGCCUGUCAAUGAGGAACGCGCAGGAGGAGGAGCCUCAGGACCCUCAGCUGGUGCGACUGGACAACAUGCUGCUGGCGGAGGGCGUAGCCGGGCCGGAGAAGGGCGGCGGGGCUGCUGCUGCUGUGUCUGCUGCCACCAGCUCGGGAGGGAUGUCGCCCGACAGCUCACUCGAGCACUCCGACUACAAAAGCAAGUUGAGCCAGAUUCGCAGUAUCUACCACACUGAGCUGGAGAAGUAUGAGCAGGCGUGCACCGAGUUCACCACCCACGUCAUGAACCUGCUGAGGGAGCAGUCGCGCACACGACCCGUCACUCCGAGGGAGAUCGAGCGCAUGGUGGCCAUCAUCCACCGCAAGUUCAGCUCCAUCCAGACCCAGCUGAAGCAGAGCACCUGUGAGGCCGUCAUGAUCCUGAGGUCCCGCUUCCUGGACGCCAGGCGCAAGAGACGCAACUUCAGCAAACAGGCCACGGAGGUCCUGAACGAGUAUUUCUACUCCCACCUGUCCAACCCGUAUCCCAGUGAAGAAGCCAAAGAGGAACUUGCCAAAAACUGUGGAAUCACCGUCUCUCAGGUCUCCAACUGGUUUGGCAACAAGAGAAUCCGCUACAAGAAAAACAUUGGCAAGUUCCAGGAGGAGGCCAACCUCUACGCCAUGAAGACAGCCCUGGGGGCCAGACAGGGCGAUGAUUCUCCUCACACUCCCAACUCCACAGGGUCCGGGUCCUUCUCCCUGUCCGGCUCAGCUGACCUGUUCCUCGGGGUUCCUCCUGUCAACGGCGAGCAGUCUGCCUACCAGAUGGGAGUGCAGGUACUUCAUAUGGAGUCGUUACACACAUGAUGAGUAAAUGAUGAGCGUGAUUAUGUUUUACUGUCUGUCGACUAAAAUCGAAACCAACAGUGGGCUGAACCAGCAGCCGUCUGUGUCGUCAGAGCUCCUCCUGUAUGUUUGACAAUAGAAACAUUACACAACAACUUAUUUCAUGCUCCCAGAACUUUACUUUCCUUUAAUAACAAACCAAAUGGACAAAUAUUUUACAACUCAAGCAAACUGAAGUGUUCAGAUUUCCUGUCACUUUAUUUUCCAUUCAUUUCAGACAGUCAUGAAAAUCUACUUUUAAGCCUGAUUAACGCUUUAUUAAAGUCACCACAGGGUGAUGCCGUUAUCGGAGACUUUAUGUGGAUCCACAUAGAAACCUACAGCCGGCUGCUUCCCAGCCUGUUAGUCCAGCCUUCAGCACCAGCUUCAUACAGCACAUACCGGACCUGGAUGUCCGCGGCUCCUUUCUCACAGAGAGGGCGCCGUCAUGACGCUAAAUGUUGGUGGUGUUUUACUCUCGGUGUGUGUGGGUGAGCGAGGGUGCACGUGACGUAAACGCUGUAAGUCCGUGAGACGUCCACAUGCAGCCCAAAACUCACUGUGGAUACAUGGAUAGAUGCUGAUUUAAUGCACAGGACGGCUCAAGAAAGCCCCGUCAGAGCUGCUUUAGCCGCACAAGUGCAUGUAGCCGUCCAUGUGUAGCGUGGUGUCAGAAUGUCACUACAGCUGUGUGUCUACCUCCACUGCUGCCGUGAUGGUGCAACAACAACCUUCUUUACCUUAAACACACACCAGUGAGGCAAAAUAAAGGCCUUCAUGCAGCUUCAGCAGGCCGUAUAUGAAAGGGGAUGGUGUUUCCAUGAAGACCCUGAAGCACUGUGUUUAAAUGCAUAGCCUCAAAACGACACACGGUUUGGAUCAAACAGAACCAGACAGCGUGUAUUGUGAUGGUUUACCUAUUUUAAUAUUAGUCUCCGGUCUUUUGAAGCCGAUUCUGGCAGUAGAGAGGACUGUACAUGUAAUAUUACUGUUUGAGUCCAUGGUCAAGUUCUGGAAGAACCAGACUGCAAACGGUCACAGAGCAUUUAAGGAAGAAAAGCCUCAGAUUUAUCAAAGCAGCUCAAAGAUAGACGACCGGAUCAAGGUGAGAGGUGUUUCUUUACUUUAACAUGUUGCUGCAAUUUUCACAUCCUGGAAUGGUCUGGGUGAUGUUGGGAAUUCCUGUUGUAGCGAUGCUGGGUGCACAUGGUGGACACACACGCUAACGCUAGCUGGUUUAGCCUAAUACAGUGAACACAGAUGCUAACGUUAGCUGGUUUAGCCUAAUACAGUGAACACAGAUGCUAAUGUUAGCUGGUUCAGGCUAACACAGUGAACACAGACGCUGUCGUUAGCUGGUUCAGGCUAACACAGUGAACAUCAGCAGGCUGCGGUUGCUACCAUGUAGUCCAUCACAACAUAUAGUUUUGUUGGUUGAAACAUUGUGUGUGCAGCAGUUUUUGUUUUUUGCUUGUUUUUUUAAUUCACUGAUUCGAUUGGUUUGUUGUUGGUAUAAAUAUAACAAUGGAAAUGUUUCGCUGCUGUUGUGAGUGAAGGUCUAAGAACCAGAGAUGCUGUGCUGAUAAACCACAGCCAUGAGUCACACGCUGCCCUCUGACACACUUGUCUUUGUUUUCUUCUUUCCCUUUCGGUU
Stegastes partitus (bicolor damselfish) is the source of this 3060-nucleotide RNA transcript. It is a transcript of the gene named pre-B-cell leukemia homeobox 2, with no coding region annotated. The transcript has 8 exons. The record is from RefSeq and is a predicted model, not a curated record. Lineage: Eukaryota; Metazoa; Chordata; Actinopteri; Pomacentridae.